UACGUAGGGUGCGAGCGUUGUCCGGAAUUAUUGGGCGUAAAGAGCUCGUAGGCGGUUUGUUGCGUCGGCCGUGAAAAACUUCACGCUUAACGUGGAGCUUGCGGUCGAUACGGGCAGACUUGAGUUCGGUAGGGGGAGACUGGAAUUCCUGGUGUAGCGGUGGAAUGCGCAGAUAUCAGGAGGAACACCGGUGGCGAAGGCGGGGUCUCUGGGCAGUAACUGACGCUGAGAAGCGAAAAGCAUGGGGGAGCGAACAGG
This 258-nucleotide ribosomal RNA is filed under the name uncultured bacterium. Its description in RNAcentral is "partial 16S ribosomal RNA". It matches the Rfam family "Bacterial small subunit ribosomal RNA", at positions 524 to 776 of the family's 1533-position model. The record is from RNAcentral.